Molecule: ribosomal RNA, 460 nt
Filed under: uncultured bacterium
Lineage: Bacteria
Description: partial 16S ribosomal RNA
Rfam family: Bacterial small subunit ribosomal RNA
Source: RNAcentral
CCUACGGGAGGCAGCAGUAAGGAAUAUUGGUCAAUGGACGAGAGUCUGAACCAGCCAAGUAGCGUGAAGGAUGACUGCCCUAUGGUUUGUAAACUUCUUUUAUAUGGGAGUAAGAUGUUCCAAGUGUGGGAUUUUGUAUGUACCAUAUGAAUAAGGAUCGGCUAACUCCGUGCCAGCAGCCGCGGUAAUACGGAGGAUCCGAGCGUUAUCCGGAUUUAUUGGGUUUAAAGGGAGCGUAGGUGGAUUGUUAAGUCAGUUGUGAAAGUUUGCGGCUCAACCGUACAAGUGCAGUUGAAACUGGCAGUCUUGAGUACAGUAGAGGUGGGCGGAAUUCGUGGUGUAGCGGUGAAAUGCUUAGAUAUCACGAAGAACUCCGAUUGCGAAGGCAGCUCACUGGACUGCAACUGACACUGAGGCUCGAAAGUGUGGGUAGCAAACAGGAUUAGAUACCCUGGUAGUC